ACGUAGGGGGCUAGCGUUGUCCGGAAUUACUGGGCGUAAAGGGUGCGUAGGCGGUAUUUUAAGUCAGAUGUGAAAUACCCGGGCUUAACCCGGGGGGUGCAUUUGAAACUGGGAUACUUGAGUGCAGGAGAGGUAAGUGGAAUUCCUAGUGUAGCGGUGAAAUGCGUAGAUAUUAGGAGGAACACCAGUGGCGAAGGCGACUUACUGGACUGUAACUGACGCUGAGGCACGAAAGCGUGGGGAGCAAACAG
This 251-nucleotide ribosomal RNA is filed under the name uncultured prokaryote. Its description in RNAcentral is "partial 16S rRNA". It matches the Rfam family "Bacterial small subunit ribosomal RNA", at positions 525 to 775 of the family's 1533-position model. The record is from RNAcentral.